UACGUAGGGUGCGAGCGUUGUCCGGAAUUAUUGGGCGUAAAGAGCUCGUAGGCGGCUUGUCGCGUCGGAUGUGAAAGCCCGGGGCUUAACUCCGGGUCUGCAUUCGAUACGGGCAGGCUAGAGUUCGGUAGGGGAGAUCGGAAUUCCUGGUGUAGCGGUGAAAUGCGUAGAUAUCGGAAGGAACAUCAGUGGCGAAAGCGGCUUCCUGGACCAGAACUGACGAUCAGGCUCGAAAGCGUGGGGAGCAAACAGG
Molecule: ribosomal RNA, 253 nt
Filed under: uncultured bacterium
Lineage: Bacteria
Description: partial 16S ribosomal RNA
Rfam family: Bacterial small subunit ribosomal RNA
Source: RNAcentral